RNAcentral lists this ribosomal RNA (253 nucleotides) under uncultured bacterium. RNAcentral's name for it is "partial 16S ribosomal RNA". It matches the Rfam family "Bacterial small subunit ribosomal RNA", at positions 524 to 776 of the family's 1533-position model. The record is from RNAcentral.
UACGUAGGGCGCAAGCGUUAUCCGGAAUUAUUGGGCGUAAAGAGCUCGUAGGCGGUUUGUCGCGUCUGCCGUGAAAAUCCGAGGCUCAACCUCGGACUUGCGGUGGGUACGGGCAGACUAGAGUGUGGUAGGGGAGACUGGAAUUCCUGGUGUAGCGGUGAAAUGCGCAGAUAUCAGGAGGAACACCGAUGGCGAAGGCAGGUCUCUGGGCCACUACUGACGCUGAGAAGCGAAAGCAUGGGGAGCGAACAGG